CUCUUUACUGAUUUAUUUCUCUUUAUUUCUCAUGGAAUGAUUAUUUCAGUGAAAAUGUAUGGUGUAACCACCAGUGCUUAGCUAACAGAGAAAUCUGUGAAAGUAGAAAUACCAGAUUUUAAAUCUAAGAGGGAAAGUAAAAACAAUAAAAAACACAAUGAAGUCCACUCAGAAGUGGUUUUUCAGUUUAUCAAUCUCAAAAUUGUGAAGGAAUUCAUAUCCCACUAAACUUGCACAGAAUUUGGAGACCAAGCUCUCUAGUUCAUGUAAACAUCUCUAGUCCUAAUUGCCAAGCAUCUAUUUAAUUUUAGAGCUAUUUGAUAUCUUAAAUUUUAUCCUGCUUCUAAUAUUCUAGCACAUCAAUUUGUAUCUGGCGAAAGGAGCAGAAACCCACGAUUUUGACAUGCCAGUACAGACAAUGGAAAAGCUGGACGGCAAGAAUCCUGCGCUUUCCGACUUUGCUCCGUACAGCACACGUACCUGUUAGCAUGCCGGUUGCCAAGAGCACCACCUCGUGCUCAGAACGCAAAAAGCACUUACUGUGACGAUCAACACCGGUAAGGGACCGCGGAGGGGCUUGGCAUUACUCAUGUGAGGAUUCUGUCUCGGCUAUUUCCUUUAAUGCUAAUAUGAAACGAAAUUACUCGGCUCAUGGUGAAAAAAUGAUUUUGCAUCUUGCAUGCAGGUCAAUAAAUAUAGCCAAGUAUUCUAAAAGCCUGAUUUGUGUCACACAUUAUUUACAUGUAUUUUGCACAGCAAGGUAAGACAUUAAUAUACCAGUGCUUAUUUUCUGCUAAAAUUAGCCUUUCUGAAUACAGCACUAUUCCUUGUCUCAUUGAGGAGAUAACUAGGAAAGAACUCAAGUCAUGACCAUUUCAUGAGGAAUUUUUCAAAGUACAUAUCUCAGUUUCUGUUUUCUUCACCAUGCCCAAUUACUACACUAAAUGGGUGCUAAGGUCAUAGAGCAGAUUCUCCUGGAAACUCUGCUAAGGCAGAGGGAAAUUAAGGACAAAGACAUAUUCCAACAGAGUAAACCAUUUCUGAUUGCUUAUGAGCAGAAUACAGAAAUGGAUAUUUUUAUGGUCCAGGUAUGUUACACAACCAGGGACCAUUAUAUUAAGUUUCUAAAUUAUGUUAAAUUCUUACUUGUCAUUCUAACAUAUUUGAACAAAGAAGGUUGCAUGAUGUUGGUGAGAAGUUUAGGCAAGAAAUUUCAGUCCAGGAGAUCUUGAUGGUGUUCUCAGCUUCUUCAUUGUACAGGCAAAUUGCUUUAUUUCUCUGUGAACCAAUUUUCCUGUUUCUAAGUUGGGGCAAUUUGCAAGAAUUUAAAAGAAUCUGUUCACAUUGUGAAAUUCAGUCUGAAAAGACUGAGGAAAGGUUUACAGGGUGGUAAUGCUUUUCCGGUUUAUGUUGUACUAUUGCCUGAUAGAGAAUUUCUUCAUCUUUCAAUUUGUGAAUCUCUGCCAGUGAUGCCUUAAAAAUUGUAAAAUAGGAAUGAUGUAUUUUUCUCUUAUUACUGUGCUAUUCCCUCCUUCCCAUACACAGGACUCAAAAAUUUAAGUGACAGUAUCUUUCCAUCAGCACAAUUAUUUUGAUUUGAAUGAAAUUUUAGAUUCAGCUGGAAACACAAUCUGCUUCUGCAGGCUUCUCACAGAUUUAGCUACAGCUCCUUUGAUUAAGCUACAGCACCUUUCCCUCUUAAAAGCUUUUCAUCUUUCAAACACAGGAAAAAAUAUUCUUUCUUGACUGUUACAGGUGACCAUGGAGUACUUGUAUUUGAGUGGAUAAAGGGAAUACACAUUUGAAAUCAGAUACAUUUAAUAUUUACUUCUUUCUUUCUCCAACAUAUGUGUACUGUUUGCUUUCUCCUGACUUUAAACUCAUUCCCACCUUGUGUGUUGUUUAUUCCUACUUCUUUGGUAAUUGAUAUAUUAUUAGUCUAGCCAUUAUACUAGUAUCUCAGCUGUUGAUACUUAAUGUGUUAUUUCUCUUCAAAAAAGUCAGUGGUUGCUGUUUACAAUAAAAGAGAUCACAAGCUGUAUCAGAACCCAAAAUUUCCAGUGAUUGUAUUUCCAAACACUAGUUUUUUGCCACAUGGAAAGUUUUUCCAUCCACACAACCAUUUCCUCUGUUUAUGGAAAUGAGGUAAAACUAGAUUUAGAACACUGACAUGGAAAAGACAGUAGUGAUUCUAGAGAGAAUCCUAAUCACAAGAGCUCUUGAAAAUAAAACUGCAGACCCCACCAUGCCUGACAAGGUGCCUUUUGACUGAAGCUUUGCAUCCAAGCAAUGGUUCUUGCAUGACUUUUGUACUAUAAAUGGAAAAAAUGGGACCUGAAGUUAGAGGAGUGCAGAUAUUUGAUGCAACACUAUAAUAAUAGAGCAAAGAAUAGUAUCAAAUUCUUGGAUCUGAGCACAAAUCAUGCCUUCAGAUUCAGAUCAUUACUUCAAUAUACAGGUAAACUACAGAUGUGUAUCUGAAGAGAGAAUUGGUAUUCCACUUGAUGAAAACAUUUAUAAUUCAGGUCCCAGAAAACUAAGAUCAACAAACUAUCAUAAGGAUUCAAAA
Molecule: long non-coding RNA, 2569 nt
Organism: Neopsephotus bourkii (Bourke's parrot)
Lineage: Eukaryota; Metazoa; Chordata; Aves; Psittaciformes; Psittacidae
Exons: 3
Source: RefSeq, a predicted model, not a curated record